GACGAACGCUGGCGGCGUGCUUAACACAUGCAAGUCGAACGGAAAGGCCCUGCUUUUGUGGGGUGCUCGAGUGGCGAACGGGUGAGUAACACGUGAGUAACCUGCCCUUGACUUUGGGAUAACUUCAGGAAACUGGGGCUAAUACCGGAUAGGAGCUCCUGCUGCAUGGUGGGGAUUGGAAAGUUUCGGCGGUUGGGGAUGGACUCGCGGCUUAUCAGCUUGUUGGUGGGGUAGUGGCUUACCAAGGCUUUGACGGGUAGCCGGCCUGAGAGGGUGACCGGCCACAUUGGGAUUGAGAUACGGCCCAGACUCCUACGGGAGGCAGCAGUGGGGAAUAUUGCACAAUGGGCGGAAGCCUGAUGCAGCAACGCCGCGUGCGGGAUGAAGGCCUUCGGGUUGUAAACCGCUUUCGCCUGUGACGAAGCGUGAGUGACGGUAAUGGGUAAAGAAGCACCGGCUAACUACGUG
Molecule: ribosomal RNA, 468 nt
Filed under: uncultured bacterium
Lineage: Bacteria
Description: partial 16S ribosomal RNA
Rfam family: Bacterial small subunit ribosomal RNA
Source: RNAcentral